This is an RNA transcript of Glycine soja, 2351 nucleotides long. It is a transcript of the gene named protein DENND6A-like, with no coding region annotated. The record is from RefSeq and is a predicted model, not a curated record. Lineage: Eukaryota; Viridiplantae; Streptophyta; Magnoliopsida; Fabales; Fabaceae. The transcript is spliced from 4 exons.
UUUGUAUUAUUAGUGUUUUUAUCGGAUAUGAGUCGGUCUCCUUCCUUUAAAGUUAAAGAAGAACUUAGUCCCAGUCUUGAUCCAGAGUCUUUACAGAGAUGGAUCGUUGCCUUAUGUGCUAUAAGGUUUGAUCUUGAACUAGGCCAACUCAUAGAAGAAUGUUAUCCACCUGGCUGUCUUACACAUGAUGAGGAACUGGAGAUUGCUUAUAUUUCGUUUCCGGAUUCUAUUUCCCAGCAACAAAACCCCUCAACCAUUCAUGAUUGAAUCUUCUUUUUCCGAUUCUGUAGUAAAAGAUUAUCCAGUACAAAUAGUGAUAAUGUUUCUAAAUAACUGUAUGGCUUUGUCUUUAAUAGACAGAGACACGAUGAGAGGCUAAAGUGAUGAGGGGAGCAGUAGUCUGUGGUUAUUUUGUCCCACAGUCCUUAUUCUAGUGUGUUCAAACCUUUAUUACAAUUUGUAGGUCCCUUAUAUUUUGACAUCGGUAAGAUAGCACUGGAGCUUAUUGCUGCUUAUGUUUCAACAUGGCCUGCUCCUGUUCUUGGUAAGCUAAUGGAUCUUCCUAUUGGGAAUGCAUUGCUUAAAGAGAACCUGCCACCUGCACACAGCUUACCCAAGGAAAAUGGAGUAUCUCUUGAUGAAUCUGCUGCUCCUGUGGCUCCUUUUCUUCCUAAUAAUCAGUAUAUCCCACAGGGCCUUUUUCACGAUUCAGAUCUCUAUGGAGCUUUCCAUGGCCUUCUAUUGCAGCUUUGGUUGUUUUGGGAAUUGUUACUCGGUGAACCCAUUCUUAUCAUUGCACCAACCCCUCCCCAGUGUUCUGAGGUCGUUGCUAGUCUUGUCCAUUACUUUGCAGUGUUGACUUCCAUCCUUAUUUUACUAUUCACGAUCCUCAGUUUGCACACUUAAACUCAAUUCGAGAAGGGGAAACCUUCCCCCCAAUGGUUUUAGGGGUGACAAUUCUUUUCUUCCUUAAGGCUCUCCAUAAAAUCCCCUACAUUGUCUCAGUUGGAAGUCCACCUCCUAGUUCAAACAGGGUUUCCCUUUCGACUAGGUCUUCUACAGGAAAGGUUUCUAGUAGACCUGAAGGUCUUGGGCUUCAACAACUUUCUCUGCAGAAGUUUUCUCCUUCAAGUUUAUUGAAUGCAAUUAAGCUAUGGAGAGACGGUCCUCUUUGUCUCAUGACAGAACAUAAGGAAGCCAUUUGGACUACAUAUUCUGCCACAACUAAGCCAGACACCUCUAUUUUAAAUAGGCUUAUAGAUGCUGGCAUGUCACCAAGAGUUGAGGAGUCAAUGUCAGUUGUUAACAAUGAGAUCUUAUAGCGGCAUUUCUUGGAGCUUACGAUUAAUUUUUUGGCCCCUUUUGGUCCAUAUUUUAGGAUUACAGCGCCAUUGGAAGGAUCUUCUCCGUAUGUAGAUCCUCCUUCUUUGCCUCCAUUUAAUGCUGAUGAAUUUCUUGCAAUUUUAUCAGCCAGAGGUCCAAGGAAGUUCAUUUUGAAGCAAAUGAAAUCUAACUGGCUCGACUUCUACAGGCGGUUCCUGAAUGGACCCAACUUCAUGCCUUGGUUUCAGAGGAGGCGUGCUGUAGCUGAACAGAAACAAGAUAGAUUGUGGAGGCACGCAAGAAUGAAAACUGAUAUACAGAAACUUAUAUCUAAAAUGGCCGAGUUGGAAGUUGUGGAUUCUUUUAGUGUUAUAGAGAGACUUCUACUUGGGGAGUUACUGCUGCAGCAACCUGGAAAUGGAGGUAUUGAUUCCACGGUAACUUGUCAGAAACUAAUGGGAGAUCUUCAGGCAGUCUUCAGCGCACUUACAAAAGAUAUGCAGCAACUCAUGCUUUCAAAUCCACAAAGAGCAUCCCUUCUGCGAGGUAGCCCAGAAUUGACAAAACUUCCAGCACUCGCACUUGUUCAAGCCGGGGGUGCAUCUUCUACAUCACUCACUUGAAUGGUAAAAGCAUGAAACAGGUGGUCUUCUUAUGGUUCCAAAAGGCACUCUUCCUUAAGUCACCACAUCUGUCUGAUUGAGAGAAUUUCUGCGACUUUUGACAAGUUAUGGGGUAAGACUUAUUUUUGCAGACAUUCUAUUUUCCUUUGGAUGUCAUGCAAUUCAUUUCAAUAGAAUGUGUUUGCUGUUUUUUUUUGUAUUUUUCUUCGAAUAAACAGCUGUGUUAGCUGCAAUUUGAUUUAUCAAUACACUUUGAGAAGCAGACAUGAGAGAACUUGCCUCUUGACAAACAUAUAUGGAAAAUUGAUUUAUUUGAAACUAGCCAGGUUGUAAGUUUGCCUUUGUCGGUUAUAAUUGUGGCUUGAUAUUGUUUCUAUUAUUAAGGACCAAGCUGUAAUUUAUUCA